AUUGAACGCUGGCGGCAGGCCUAACACAUGCAAGUCGAACGAGUGGCGGACGGGUGAGUAAUGUCUGGGAAACUGCCUGGUGGAGGGGGAUAACUACUGGAAACGGUAGCUAAUACCGCAUACUAUCAGAUGAGCCUAGGUCGGAUUAGCUAGUUGGUGGGGUAAAGGCCCACCAAGGCGACGAUCCCUAGCUGGUCUGAGAGGAUGACCAGCCACACUGGAACUGAGACACGGUCCAGACUCCUACGGGAGGCAGCAGUGGGGAAUAUUGCACAAUGGGCGAAAGCCUGAUGCAGCCAUGCCGCGUGUAUGAAGAAGGCCUUCGGGUUGUAAAGUACUUUCAGCGGGGAGGCGUUACCCGCAGAAGAAGCACCGGCUAACUCCGUGCCAGCCGCCGCGGUAAUUC
Molecule: ribosomal RNA, 406 nt
Filed under: uncultured bacterium
Lineage: Bacteria
Description: partial 16S ribosomal RNA
Rfam family: Bacterial small subunit ribosomal RNA
Source: RNAcentral